AUUUACUUUACUCCAGCACAGCUGACAUCAGGAACUGUCCGUAUAAUCAAUACAGUAGGCUUAUUGACCUAAACCUUCUGGAAAUAAAUAAAUACUGUCACGAACAGUCCUCUCUCAGGGAAACAGAAACACCUGACUUUAAACAGACUUUUAGAAAACACAUCUCUUAUGAAAUCUCUUGGGAGAAGGAGUUCUUUUAGCCUCCCAGGGCAUAGCAAGCAAAGCAAGCAAGGGCUAACACUGCAGAAGUGAGCUGGAUGCCAAACAACAAUGAACAGAAGAGAGAGAGAAAGAGAGACAGAGAGAGAGCUUUAUUUCCCAUCUCUGAAGAAGACCGUGGACCUGAAAGAGCACCCUGAUAUGAUGAUAUUGGAUCAGAAACUGAUGGUCCUUCUGCCAUUGAUGUUGGAGUUUGGUGAAGACACACUUACAACUAGACAAUUCACAAAAUCUAUCUACAGAAAGUGAAAUAACCACUUGAAUGAUGCUGUAUCAACUGCACCUGUAGAAAAAUACAGACUUUGCCACUGCUUUCACUUUAACCUAUAACAAUACAAGAUCCACACGAGAAUUCUAUUGCUGUUGAAGCUUAAGAUGAAAGUGCCAGCAGCCAGAGACAUCAUUUCAGUGUAAAAGCUAAAAGAGAAGAGAGAAAAGACAAUGGCAUGUCAAUACUAGCUUGCAAAUAGGGAAUGAUGUUGCUAGAGAUUUUGCUUCAUGAAAUUCCAUAUCCUUUUCAAAAGUAAAAUAAUUGUAAUGUCAAAUAUCUCUACAUUUUAUCUGUUACAAUAUGAAAAAGUAAAUGAGCCUUUCCCCAAUGCUAUUUUAGUUUCUUUCAAAAGGUUCUGUUUUAUCUAUUUCAAUUUUAGCCAUUUUUAGCUUUAUUUGUGAGAGGAAAAAUAAAGGCAGAUUUUAUCUCCUAUGACA
This 927-nucleotide long non-coding RNA is filed under the name Anas platyrhynchos platyrhynchos (common mallard). RNAcentral's name for it is "lncRNA (ENSAPLG00000024308.1)". The record is from RNAcentral. Lineage: Eukaryota; Metazoa; Chordata; Aves; Anseriformes; Anatidae.